RNAcentral lists this ribosomal RNA (253 nucleotides) under uncultured bacterium. RNAcentral describes it as "partial 16S ribosomal RNA". It matches the Rfam family "Bacterial small subunit ribosomal RNA", at positions 524 to 776 of the family's 1533-position model. The record is from RNAcentral.
GACAGAGGUGCCGAGCGUUAGGCGGAAUCACUGGGCUUAAAGCGUGUGUAGGCGGACCCGUCAGUGUCUUGUGAAAUCCCACGGCUCAACCGUGGAACGGCCCCGGGUACGGGCGGCCUCGAGGGGGGUAGGGGCGUGCGGAACUGUGGGUGGAGCGGUGAAAUGCGUUGAUAUCCACAGGAACUCCGGUGGCGAAGGCGGCACGCUGGACCCCUUCUGACGCUGAGGCGCGAAAGCCAGGGGAGCGAACGGG